UGCGGGAAUGGAGCAAUGGCGGCUCAACGGGUUCAUAUUCCGUUAAUCGGACAGGUUCAAAUCCUGCUCCCGCAACCA
Molecule: transfer RNA, 78 nt
Filed under: Acidobacteriota bacterium
Lineage: Bacteria; Pseudomonadati; Acidobacteriota
Description: Acidobacteria bacterium (soil metagenome) tRNA-Met
Rfam family: tRNA
About the family: Transfer RNA (tRNA) molecules are approximately 80 nucleotides in length. Their secondary structure includes four short double-helical elements and three loops (D, anti-codon, and T loops).
Source: RNAcentral